UACGGAGGGUGCGAGCGUUGUCCGGAAUCAUUGGGCGUAAAGGGCGCGUAGGUGGCCCGGUCAGUUCGUGGUGAAAGCGCGGGGCUCAACCCUGCGUCGGCCAUGAAUACUGCCGCGGCUGGAGCACUGUAGAGGCAGGCGGAAUUCCGCGUGUAGCAGUGAAAUGCGUAGAUAUGCGGAGGAACACCGAUGGCGAAGGCAAUCCCCUGGACCUGUACUGACGCUCAUGCACGAAAGCGUGGGGAGCAAACAGG
This 254-nucleotide ribosomal RNA is filed under the name uncultured bacterium. RNAcentral's name for it is "partial 16S ribosomal RNA". It matches the Rfam family "Bacterial small subunit ribosomal RNA", at positions 524 to 776 of the family's 1533-position model. The record is from RNAcentral.